Molecule: non-coding RNA, 555 nt
Organism: Cyanistes caeruleus (blue tit)
Lineage: Eukaryota; Metazoa; Chordata; Aves; Passeriformes; Paridae
Source: RefSeq, a predicted model, not a curated record
AGUUUCACAUGCUCUCUGUUUCAGAGCUAGCAUCUACACUCAGGUAAUUAGUCCCUUCAUAUUUCCUGUCCCAGUAUUGCUGAAGAAGAGGAAAACUGGAGGAAAACAUGGAGUUUGCAAUUAUCAGCCCUUCCCAUGCAGCCUUCAGGACUGGCUCCAGAGGUGCAGCUCCCUCAGGUCCAGGAUGUUUGUUAUGGAGAAUUGGAAAGACACCAUCUAAGUUUAGCUGGAUGGCAAAGGGGUGAAACAGAGAACCUGCUGAAAUCUGCUUCUUUCAUCCUGCUGCCUUCCUGAGGAGAGAGAUUGCCAACUUUCUUCUGUGAGGAUGAGGUGCACAGUGGUCUCCUGAAGCUUGGAGGUCUCACAGCUCCAGCCCUGCUCCCUUACCUGUUUCAGAGUAAGCAUAACCAAAACCUUAAGGCCAGGGAAAAAUCGAGGCAGAAAAGAGACACUGGGUAGAAAAGACAUGUACAUAUUUUUCAGUAGUGACUGGAAAAUAAAACUUCCCAGAGGUCUAAAAUAGUCCAAAGGCAAUGAAAUCAGAGCACAAUAAAA